GUUUUCGAGGGGGAAAUGCAAGCACAUUCUCCAGCAUGGAGUCCCUAGAGGCAGUGCAUUUUAAACCCUAAAUGUGAAUUAUUAUGUGAGUGUCCGAGUAGAGUUCCAGUUCCGUUUGGAGAAACUGUAUGAGGCGUGUUCCGUGUGGGUGUGUGUGCGUACGGAUACGUGGAAGCAGGAUCUCGGUGUCGCGGGUGUCCCUAGGCUGGGAUCUCCCCCUCUCAUCAGAUAAGGAGAAUCCUCUAGCUCCCCAAAACUGGCCCCCAUAACCAAUCCCGUCUCAGUUCGUAAGGGGUUAACCAAAGCCGAUUCCAAGGAAACACAGGUCCCCCCCACCCCCCGCCACCCUCCACUUACCCCACCCACAGUUCUGCCUCGGACCCCGGCCAAUCCCCCAGAUCUCCCCCGGGACCCCCCACCCCGCAGCCCACCCACCCGAGCGCACAGCUCCUCACCUGAGGGGCCCAGUCGCGUCGGGCCUCCCGAGGGGGCUGCGAGUGUCAGUCGGCUCUCCGCACGUGUCCGCGGCCUCGCGGAGCAGUCCACCCCUGGCUGGUUUCUGCUUCCACCUGCUGAUCUCACAGAGGUGAGGUGAUAACAGUGAUGAAACAAAAUCUUCAAACCACAGCACACUUGAUUUUGACACAAAGCAAGAUACUGAACAUUAACACCACCACAGAGGCCUACUAUGUGCUCCUGUCCCUGUUGUUACUUCCUCCAAAGUGUUGGAGGAGGGGCCUUGUGGAAGGUGAUUGAAUCACGGGGACGGACUUUCCUGUUGCUGCUCUUGUGAUGGAUUUCUCACAAGAUCUGGUUGUUUGAAAGUGUGUAGCACCUGCCACUUCACUCCCUCUCUCUCCUCCUGGCCAUGUGAAGACUGUGCCUGCUUCCUCUUUGUCUUCCACCAUGAUUCACUGCAAGCUAUUUGGCAUAUGAAGGUCUUGACCUGAGAAAACCAUCUUGGAUAACUGCAGCAAGGAAAAGGAAAAAUGCAACACCUAGGAGAUUUCAGUAAACAGUAGAAUCAUGCCAACCUAAUCUGUGUUAAAAUGCUUGGAAUGUGGGAGCCGCUGAUGAUGCCUCUUGUCUGUGUGUCUGACUGAAUCCUUUCUUUUCUCAGAGCAGCAAAGCAAAGCCUGGGAACCAGGCCAAAUGCCUGCCACUUACCUUAAAUUGAUCAGCCACUUUGAGAUUAAAACCCCUGAAAGCUGCCACACCGUGAAAACAAGGCCUCCUUCACAUUAAAGGCAAAUUGCGACUUUGGGUUUGCUGUGAUCUUUUUUCCAUUUUAUCCAGUUUUUCACAGUGCACUUUUUUCCCCCUUUCCAUUUAUGCUCCAAUAUAGAAGCCAAUAGUUACAGCAUCUUGGCCAAGCAUUCAUUAAGGUUUAUAAGAACAAAAUUUAUGGUUAUUUAGGAGUUGGCACAAAGGCAGACUGUUGCUGGAAAAAGAAAAAGAAAUACAGGUGGGAAAUAGAAGCCUCCACAAAGGCCCACACUAUACAGUAGUGUACUAGACUCUAGUAGUGGGCUGGGAGGAAAAUGAAAUAGUAUUUGAAACCAGCUACUCUUCUAUUCUGAAUCAUUCUCAUUUAUGGCUCUGCAGAUUAUUGAAACAAGUAUACUGGUUAUUCCAGGAGAUUUUUCUGUCUUGGGUAAAUGCUACCAUUUACAGGAGCUGACAGUAGAGAUAAAUAGAUGUGUGCCAAUCUGAGUGAUCUGGCAGUUUGGCUAAAGGAUAAAGUGCAUUUAAAAAAGAAAUAUAUAUA
RNAcentral lists this long non-coding RNA (1768 nucleotides) under Homo sapiens (human). RNAcentral describes it as "HSALNT0125604". Lineage: Eukaryota; Metazoa; Chordata; Mammalia; Primates; Hominidae. The record is from RNAcentral.